GGAAAAUCAUAUAAUUGACGCCCAUCUUGUGAUCGUUUGUCAAUCGCUAUCUGUAACAGUUACGGAAUAAUCGCCUGUGCAGUGUGCACACUUAACGAUUACACCCUGUAUAUCAAAAUAAUAUGCAACAAAAAAGAAGAAUUUCGGACUAAUUUGUUUAAUUAUGUCAUUUUUAAUAAAAUGUUUUUUUAUUAUUUUUUGUUGAUUUGCGAUUUGGUUCAAUGAUUGAAAGAUUUAAUAAUUGUUCUUGCAAUUCAUACAAUUGUGUAUUAGUUGCCCUACAGACUGUUGUCGUUAUAUCUUAUUUCAAUAAUUUAUAUAAAGUUUAUUUGUAGUAGCAUGUUUAAUAUAUUAUAACGUUAAAUGUUUAACGAAAAGUGAAGAAAUUAUGUGUUCACUUCUUGAUGGAAACAGCGUCACGCUCGCUCGAUUGCAGCGACUGACAAUUAAUAUUAAAUGAUUGUGAUCUCUAUUUUUCGAUCCGAGGAUCAACUUUCCUCUGUUCUGUGUUUUUUAUUUCUCUCUGUGUGUAUUAUAUGGAUGUACUUGGUAUUCGUGGUCGGUUUAUUGCAACGUCAUAACCUAAUAGACACCUAAUGUCUUAUUUUCUACUAAUAAACUUUUUAGUAAAGAUGAUGUAGUGCGCAGGGCGGGGUACCGUAGUUAGCACAUAUUUUUUUAAUACUAUUUGAAGAAACAAUUUAUUUAUUUAAGGGUAAGUAAUAAAAAAAUCAAAUGCCCUGGAGGGGAAGUAUAUUUGUAUCGAUUUGAAGAAUAAAAUAACACUAUUUUUUUUAGUUUGUUCGAUUCUCGGUCGAAGCAACUGAAUUUUCGAAAAUCUUUGAAUGCCGUUCUAUUUCUUUUAAAAAAUACAUACAGGUUUGUCCUUUCAGUAAAAUUUGCAAUGUCUACUAAUUCAAGCAAUUCCCCUCCAGGGCCCAUGGAAAAUUUCUAAGUUUUCAUAAAAUUAUUUUUUGUUGAUUUGCCAUUUGAUUCAAGGAUUGAAAGAUUUAAUAAUUAUUGUUUUUGCAAUUAAUACAAUUGUAUAUUACUUGCCCUACUGUGACUUAAGUCAUUUUUUUGUGAUUUUUUUUUUCAAUAGUCGUUUUAUUAUCUUGUUUCAAUAAUUUAUAUAAAGUGUAUUUGUAGUAGCAUGUUUUUUUCAAUAUAUAACGUUAAAAGUUUAACGAAAAGUGAAUAUAAUUUACCGUAUCUUCAUAUUACAUAUAUUAUAUAGUGUUCACUUAUACAGGGUUACUUGUAAAACACCAGCAACCUUGCAGGACAAGAUAGCAUAAGAUAUCAUAAGAAACAACAUUUGUUCUACGACUUUUGAUAGGUAAUUUGUUAGAUUUUAUUUUCAUACAAAAAUAAAUAUUCAUUUAAUUUUCCAUUUAUAAACUCUACACGCAUCCUAAUAAUUACACGAGAAACGAACAAGAGGGGGAAGGUAGGGGCGGAGCGGCGCUAGCGCCUUUGAACUUGAUCUAUCUGCGACAGUCAGCGCAUAAGACUUACAAAUGUUAGGAGAGUACAAUAAAAGCUUAAAAAAUCAUUUCAAAAUAAUUUAUUGCGUUAUGCCAAUAGUCGUAGAACAAAAUAUGUUGUUACUUAUCUUGUCCUGCGAGGUUGCUGGUGUUUUUUCAAGUAACCCUGUGUACACAAGGUUACUUGAAAUAUAAUUAUUAUAUAGUUUUCACUUCUUGUAAUAAUACAAGAAAUAAUACCUAACUAAUAAUAAUUUUUAUUUUCUUCACUGCGUCACGCUCGCUCAAUUUUAUUGACUGUCAGUUUUAAUAUUAAUGAAAAUUAUUGUGAUCUCUAUUUUUCGAUCCGAGGAUCAACUUUCCUCUGCUCUAUGUGUGUGUACACGUCGUUGAUUAAUUAUUACUUUCUGUGUGGGUUUUAUAAUAAAUGAAGGUUCUGAGAUUAA
This is a long non-coding RNA of Colias croceus (clouded yellow), 1933 nucleotides long. RefSeq lists it as uncharacterized. NCBI's taxonomy places the organism in Eukaryota, Metazoa, Arthropoda, Insecta, Lepidoptera, Pieridae. The transcript is spliced from 2 exons. The record is from RefSeq and is a predicted model, not a curated record.